Platichthys flesus (European flounder) is the source of this 1199-nucleotide RNA transcript. It is a transcript of the gene named uracil phosphoribosyltransferase (FUR1) homolog (S. cerevisiae), with no coding region annotated. The transcript has 8 exons. NCBI's taxonomy places the organism in Eukaryota, Metazoa, Chordata, Actinopteri, Pleuronectiformes, Pleuronectidae. The record is from RefSeq and is a predicted model, not a curated record.
AUGCCGUGCCACAACCAGCAGAUGAACAGUGUCAACAGUGGCCCGGACCACCCAGUGAAGCAGGUCCGGUUCGCUAACAGCGGCGGUGUCCCCCCGGUGCUGAGCACCCCUGAGCCCAGCGAUGCCGCCACACUACCCAGUCAGGAAAACCUGGGACCGCAGCUCAAGCUGCUCCCUCUCAACGACCAGAUCCGAGAACUACAGACCAUCAUCAGAGACAAGACAACCAGCAGAGGAGAUUUCGUUUUUUGUGCCGACCGUCUGAUAAGACUAGUAGUUGAAGAGGGCUUGAAUCAGCUCCCUUACUCAGAGUGCACUGUGACUACACCAACAGGGUACAAGUAUGAAGGUGUCAAGUUUGAAAGAGGCAAUUGUGGAGUCAGCAUAAUGAGGAGUGGCGAGGCCAUGGAACAGGGUCUCCGGGACUGCUGCCGCUCCAUCCGCAUUGGCAAGAUCCUCAUCCAGAGCGAUGAAGAGACACAGAAAGCCAAGGUCUACUAUGCCAAGUUCCCCCCAGAUGUGUACAGAAGAAAGGUGCUGCUCAUGUAUCCCAUCCUCAGUACUGGGAAUACAGUGAUCGAAGCAGUGAAGGUGUUGAUAGAGCACGGAGUUCAACCCAGACACAUUAUCCUCCUCAGCCUCUUCUCCACACCUCAUGUCAGCAGGAUUACAGAAACACUUCUGCACAGUUUUUUAUGAAGUUUAGUGGAGUGAUUGGACAUUACCUGAGGAGGAGCACAUUAUUCUUUUUAGCGGAGCCAGAGAAAAACAGCAGGCAGGAUUUGUUUUUCACGUUAUUUAACAUGGAGCCAAAUCUAUAAUCCAGGAGUUCCCAGACAUCACCAUUCUGACCACAGAGGUUCAUCCAGUGGCUCCAACACAUUUUGGACAGAGGUACUUUGGCACAGACUAAACUGAGGAAGACCAGAGGAACAUGAUCUGCGACCUGUUGUGACAUUUAUUUAAAUAUUCCCUGUGUUCUCCUUGUUGUGCCAAAUACUGCAACGUGAUCUUACAAUUUCCCAGAUUCAUACAAAAUUAAUAGUGAUUGUAUUUAUUAUGUUUUUUUUUUUUGUUGUGGUGUAUACUCAUGCUAUAAAAAGAAGAAUACUCUGAAUCAUGAGGAGAGUUCAACUUGGAGCCUUUUAUUUUGCAUGUUACAACAAGUGAUGGAUCAAUAAAGAAUUUAUAUUUGUUAA